AUCAGAAUGUUAGGAGGAAUGGGAGGAAUGUUGGUUGCUGAUUUUGAUUAAAUAAAAGCUAAUUGCAUGUUGAGAUGUUAAAGUGUAGAAGAUGGCUGGCAAAAGAAGGUGUAAAGAGUGUUUAGUGGAAUGAUGAGUUGUUAGUGGGAUAGUUGGCAUAUGAUGAGUGUUUAGUGGGAUAGUUGGCAUAUGAUGAGUGUUUCCAACACCAUCAAUUUAUUUAAGAGUAAGAUGGAUGUGGAAAUGUGUAGGUGCUAGAUGAAUGUGAUGAAUAAAAUCCUUAUUCUGUA
Molecule: long non-coding RNA, 290 nt
Organism: Salvia miltiorrhiza (redroot sage)
Lineage: Eukaryota; Viridiplantae; Streptophyta; Magnoliopsida; Lamiales; Lamiaceae
Exons: 2
Source: RefSeq, a predicted model, not a curated record